GCCCUCGGUGGCUCAGAUGGAUAGAGCGUUUGCCAGGUAAGCAGAAAUCCCGGGUUCGAGUCCCGGUCGGGGCA
RNAcentral lists this transfer RNA (74 nucleotides) under Schistocerca americana (American grasshopper). RNAcentral describes it as "tRNA-Thr". It matches the Rfam family "tRNA". From Rfam's summary of the family: Transfer RNA (tRNA) molecules are approximately 80 nucleotides in length. Their secondary structure includes four short double-helical elements and three loops (D, anti-codon, and T loops). Lineage: Eukaryota; Metazoa; Arthropoda; Insecta; Orthoptera; Acrididae. The record is from RNAcentral.